This 301-nucleotide ribosomal RNA is filed under the name uncultured bacterium. RNAcentral describes it as "bacterial SSU rRNA". It matches the Rfam family "Bacterial small subunit ribosomal RNA", at positions 30 to 329 of the family's 1533-position model. The record is from RNAcentral.
AUUGAACGCUGGCGGCAUGCCUUACACAUGCAAGUCGAACGGCAGCACGGGAGCAAUCCUGGUAGGCGAGUGGCGAACGGGUGAGUAAUAUAUCGGAACGUGCCCAGGUCGUGGGGGAUAACGUAGCGAAAGCUACGCUAAUACCGCAUACGAUCUAUGGAUGAAAGCGGGGGAUCGCAAGACCUCGCGCGAUUGGAGCGGCCGAUAUCAGAUUAGGUAGUUGGUGAGGUACAGGCUCACCAAGCCGACGAUCUGUAGCUGGUCUGAGAGGACGACCAGCCACACUGGGACUGAGACACGG